This 494-nucleotide ribosomal RNA is filed under the name uncultured bacterium. RNAcentral's name for it is "partial 16S ribosomal RNA". It matches the Rfam family "Bacterial small subunit ribosomal RNA", at positions 28 to 507 of the family's 1533-position model. The record is from RNAcentral.
GACGAACGCUGGCGGCGUGCUUAACACAUGCAAGUCGAACGGUGAAGCGCCUUCCUUUUUGGUGGGUGUGGAUGAGUGGCGAACGGGUGAGUAACACGUGAGUAACCUGCCCCCUUCUUCUGGAUAACCGCAUGAAAGUGUGGCUAAUACGGGAUAUUCUGGGUCUGUCGCAUGAUGGGUCUGGGAAAGAUAUUGUUUCGGUGGGGGAUGGGCUCGCGGCCUAUCAGCUUGUUGGUGGGGUGAUGGCCUACCAAGGCGGUGACGGGUAGCCGGCCUGAGAGGUUGGACGGCCACACUGGGACUGAGACACGGCCCAGACUCCUACGGGAGGCAGCAGUGGGGAAUAUUGCACAAUGGGCGCAAGCCUGAUGCAGCGACGCCGCGUGAGGGAUGGAGGCCUUCGGGUUGUGAACCUCUUUCGCCAGUGAAGCAGGCCUGCCUCGUUUGUGGGUGGGUUGACGGUAGCUGGAUAAGAAGCGCCGGCUAACUACGUG